RNAcentral lists this ribosomal RNA (301 nucleotides) under uncultured bacterium. RNAcentral's name for it is "partial 16S ribosomal RNA". It matches the Rfam family "Bacterial small subunit ribosomal RNA", at positions 509 to 809 of the family's 1533-position model. The record is from RNAcentral.
CAGUCGCCGCGGUAAUGCGUAGGUGGCAAGCGUUGUCCGGAAUUAUUGGGCGUAAAGGGCUCGCAGGCGGUUUCUUAAGUCUGAUGUGAAAGCCCCCGGCUCAACCGGGGAGGGUCAUUGGAAACUGGGAAACUUGAGUGCAGAAGAGGAGAGUGGAAUUCCUCGUGUAGCGGUGAAAUGCGUAGAGAUGUGGAGGAACACCAGUGGCGAAGGCGACUCUCUGGUCUGUAACUGACGCUGAGGAGCGAAAGCGGGGGGAGCGAACAGGAUUAGAUACCCGCGUAGUCCCUGUCUCUUAUAA